GGGACGAACGCUGGCGGCGUGCUUAACACAUGCAAGUCGAACGAGAUCCAUUCAGUAGCAAUACUGAUGAAGGUCGAGUGGCGAACGGGUGAGUAACACGUGAGGAACCUAUCCUGGUCUCUGGGAUAACAGUCGGAAACAACUGCUAAUACCGGAUGCCGUCGGAGCGCUGCAUGGCGCACUGACGAAAGGGUUACUGGAUCAGGAGGGUCUCGCGGCCUAUCAGCUUGUUGGUGGGGUAACGGCCUACCAAGGCAUCGACGGGUAGCUGGUCUGAGAGGAUGAUCAGCCACACUGGGACUGAGACACGGCCCAGACUCCUACGGGAGGCAGCAGUGGGGAAUCUUGCGCAAUGGGCGAAAGCCUGACGCAGCAACGCCGCGUGCGGGAAGAAGGCCCUCGGGUUGUAAACCGCUUUCAGAAGGAACGAAACUGACGGUACUUUCAGAAGAAGGUGCGGCCAACUACGUGCCAGCAGCCG
This 481-nucleotide ribosomal RNA is filed under the name uncultured bacterium. Its description in RNAcentral is "SSU rRNA". It matches the Rfam family "Bacterial small subunit ribosomal RNA", at positions 27 to 517 of the family's 1533-position model. The record is from RNAcentral.